Molecule: ribosomal RNA, 448 nt
Filed under: uncultured Streptococcus sp.
Lineage: Bacteria; Bacillati; Bacillota; Bacilli; Lactobacillales; Streptococcaceae
Description: bacterial SSU rRNA
Rfam family: Bacterial small subunit ribosomal RNA
Source: RNAcentral
UGGAGCACGUGGUUUAAUUCGAAGCAACGCGAAGAACCUUACCAGGUCUUGACAUCCCGAUGCUAUUUCUAGAGAUAGAAAGUUACUUCGGUACAUCGGUGACAGGUGGUGCAUGGUUGUCGUCAGCUCGUGUCGUGAGAUGUUGGGUUAAGUCCCGCAACGAGCGCAACCCCUAUUGUUAGUUGCCAUCAUUCAGUUGGGCACUCUAGCGAGACUGCCGGUAAUAAACCGGAGGAAGGUGGGGAUGACGUCAAAUCAUCAUGCCCCUUAUGACCUGGGCUACACACGUGCUACAAUGGUUGGUACAACGAGUUGCGAGUCGGUGACGGCGAGCUAAUCUCUUAAAGCCAAUCUCAGUUCGGAUUGUAGGCUGCAACUCGCCUACAUGAAGUCGGAAUCGCUAGUAAUCGCGGAUCAGCACGCCGCGGUGAAUACGUUCCCGGGCCUU